UUCGCAGCCGGAGGUCGUCCCUCUCCCUGCGAGGGCCACGAGCGCCCAGCCCUGCUCCCGAGGGACUCCACGGGAAGCCGUCUAGAAUGGUCGGGGCGACUCACCGUCGCCGCGGCACCGGCGGCGGCCGCAAUAUCAAGAAUGACCACCUCCGAAGCUCGUAGUCGGGCGUCUGCCAGAAGGAGGCGGGUUGGAGGCAACAGGAGUGAAUUGAGUACAGCUGUGUAAUCUAACACUCCAGGUUCCCAGCCCUUUGACACCGAUAAGAACAGGUGCAGCAUGAUGUGCUUCCACAAACCAAGCAUGCCCGUGGACCACCUCCCAGCGACCUGACUUGCACUGCCUUCCAAGCACGAGGUCACCCUGGGGUCACCAUGCUCCUGAUUUGUAGCAGCAAAGAUUAGCUUUCUUCCUUUCUGUAAUUUUUAUAGAAAUGGAUUCUCGUGGUAUGAGCUCUUGACUGUGGCUUCUUUGGCUCAGUCUUGCGCCUAUGAGUCAUCCAUAGUGCUCUACACAGUUGUCAGCGUUCAUUCUCACAGUCGUGUGAUAGUCCAUUGUGUGAACAGACCGAAGUUUGUCUGUUUUGCUGCUCAUGGCAUCCAGGUUAUUCCGAGGUGGGAAUUUUUGGCUAUUCUCAUCGUGCUGUCACAAGCUUUCCAGUGCAUGGCGUGAGCAUAACUGUCAGGUGCCCAGUGAGGGGGAGAGGCUGGGUCACAGGGUGCUCCUUUGUUCAGCUUUGUAGAUCCCGACACAAGGUUUCCCAAAGUACUUCUGCCAACAUACACUCCCCCAGAGCAUCAGGGUUCUGCUGGUCACAUCCUCGAGAACACUUGGUAUUGCCAAACCUUCGAACCUAACUGCUAAAGAUUCUAAAUGGACACAUGAAUGAUUUCAAUGUUGACAUCUAUUUUGUUGCAUUUCUGUCAUUAAUACGGCCCAUGGGAGUUAACAGCUCUCUUUCACAUGUCAUCCACUUUGCACCUGUCAUCCAGUUUAGCAAGCACCCACUGCCUACUCUGGUAGUGGGUGUGCGUGUGUGCUCAGUUGUGUCCCACUCUUUGCCACCCCAUGGACUAUACCCCAUCAGGCUCCUCCGUCCAUGGAACUUCCCAGACAAGAAUAUGGAGCAAAUUGCCAUUUCCCUCUCCAGGGGAUCUUCCUGACCCAGGGACCGACUCAUAUCUCUUAUGUCUCUUGAACUGGCAGGCAAACUCUUUACCACUAGCACUCUGGGCCUCAGUUUCUCUAUCUGUCGAAUAGCUAGCUGGCCAUUUGUCGAAAACCAUGCCAGGCGUUUAAUAAAUACCAUUUGACUCCUUUAGUAACCCUUCUUUUAUAUUGCCUUUCCACUGCCCACCCCCAACCCCAUC
Molecule: long non-coding RNA, 1370 nt
Organism: Budorcas taxicolor (takin)
Lineage: Eukaryota; Metazoa; Chordata; Mammalia; Artiodactyla; Bovidae
Exons: 3
Source: RefSeq, a predicted model, not a curated record